RNAcentral lists this ribosomal RNA (460 nucleotides) under uncultured bacterium. RNAcentral describes it as "SSU rRNA". It matches the Rfam family "Bacterial small subunit ribosomal RNA", at positions 26 to 518 of the family's 1533-position model. The record is from RNAcentral.
AGAAUCAACGCUGGCGGCGUGCCUAACACAUGCAAGUCGAACGAGAAAGUGGAGCAAUCCAUGAGUAAAGUGGCGCACGGGUGAGUAACACGUGACUAACCUACCCUUGAGUGGGGGAUAACCUAGAGAAAUCUGGGCUAAUACCGCAUAAUACCUUCGGGUCAAAGGAGCAAUUCGCUUAAGGAGGGGGUCGCGGCCGAUUAGUUAGUUGGCGGGGUAAUGGCCCACCAAGACUAUGAUCGGUAUCCGGCCUGAGAGGGCGCACGGACACACUGGAACUGAAACACGGUCCAGACUCCUACGGGAGGCAGCAGUGGGGAAUUUUGCGCAAUGGGGGAAACCCUGACGCAGCAACGCCGCGUGGAGGAUGAAGUCCCUUGGGACGUAAACUCCUUUCGAUCGGGACGAUUAUGACGGUACCGAGAGAAGACGCCCCGGCUAACUUCGCGCCAGCAGCCGC